GGGCCCGCACAAGCGGAGGAACAUGUGGUUUAAUUCGAUGAUACGCGAGGAACCUUACCCGGGAUUGAACGCGGCAGGACGUAUGGUGAAAGCCGUAUUCCAGCGAUGGUCUGUCGCGAGGUGCUGCAUGGUUGUCGUCAGCUCGUGCCGUGAGGUGUCGGCUUAAGUGCCAUAACGAGCGCAACCCUUAUCGCCAGUUACCAGCGUGUAAAGACGGGAACUCUGGCGAGACUGCCGGCGUAAGCUGCGAGGAAGGUGGGGAUGACGUCAAAUCAGCACGGCCCUUAUAUCCGGGGCGACACACGUGUUACAAUGGCAGGGACAAAGAGCAGCUACCGUGCGAGCGGAAGCGAAUCUCCAAACCCUGUCUCAGUUCGGAUCGGAGUCUGCAACUCGACUCCGUGAAGCUGGAUUCGCUAGUAAUCGCGCAUCAGCCAUGGCGCGGUGAAUACG
Molecule: ribosomal RNA, 453 nt
Filed under: uncultured Bacteroidales bacterium
Lineage: Bacteria; Pseudomonadati; Bacteroidota; Bacteroidia; Bacteroidales
Description: bacterial SSU rRNA
Rfam family: Bacterial small subunit ribosomal RNA
Source: RNAcentral